This 415-nucleotide ribosomal RNA is filed under the name uncultured Oscillospiraceae bacterium. RNAcentral describes it as "bacterial SSU rRNA". It matches the Rfam family "Bacterial small subunit ribosomal RNA", at positions 355 to 784 of the family's 1533-position model. Lineage: Bacteria; Bacillati; Bacillota; Clostridia; Eubacteriales; Oscillospiraceae. The record is from RNAcentral.
UGGGGAAUAUUGGGGCAAUGGGCGCAAGCCUGACCCAGCAACGCCGCGUGAAGGAAGAAGGCUUUCGGGUUGUAAACUUCUUUUAUUGGGGACGAAACAAAUGACGGUACCCAUUGAAUAAGCUCCGGCUAACUACGUGCCAGCAGCCGCGGUAAUACGUAGGGAGCAAGCGUUAUCCGGAUUUACUGGGUGUAAAGGGCGUGUAGGCGGGAGUGCAAGUCAGAUGUGAAACUAUGGGCUCAACCCAUAGCCUGCAUUUGAAACUGUACUUCUUGAGUACUGGAGAGGCAGGCGGAAUUCCGUGUGUAGCGGUGAAAUGCGUAGAUAUACGGAGGAACACCAGUGGCGAAGGCGGCCUGCUGGACAGCAACUGACGCUGAGGCGCGAAAGCGUGGGGAGCAAACAGGAUUAGAUA